This 517-nucleotide long non-coding RNA is filed under the name Calidris pugnax (ruff). Its description in RNAcentral is "lncRNA (ENSCPUG00000016972.1)". The record is from RNAcentral. Lineage: Eukaryota; Metazoa; Chordata; Aves; Charadriiformes; Scolopacidae.
GGAUACUCCGCUGCACCACCAGCCGUACGGCACUGUGUGGAGACUGUCUGACUGUCGUCUCGGAAAGGUCUAUUUGUGGGGGUUUUUUUAAGCAAGUCUGCAUGGAAAUGUGUCACCAAUAGCCAGCUGUUUCCAAACAGUUCAGCAUUGCUGGGGUAUUUUUACUGGAUGCAGGCGGAGGGACUGAUCUUGGAAGGAAACUUCAUGUGAAGUCCCCAGCCCGUUUGCAGAUUCAUGUGCUGGUCAAUUUCUGGAUGAGAUUUCAGCUUUCUCAGUGCAGGGAUCAGCUCUGUCUCCUCACCGGCACACAGUCUCCACAAGGAUGCUCGAUGGCACCUCUCCAUUCCUGCAGCCCCCCUGAGUUUGAUCACUGCUCUUGCUGCUCCCAAAAAUCACUGGCAUCUCUGCAACACAAGAAAUUUGAUGUUGGAGAUGUGACACAGAUGGGUAAAGAAAGGCAAGCAAAGGGGAAGCUGCGUCCUUUCCAUAUUCAGCUGAAUCCAUCUUCUCUGGGGCU